Molecule: long non-coding RNA, 718 nt
Organism: Triticum aestivum (bread wheat)
Lineage: Eukaryota; Viridiplantae; Streptophyta; Magnoliopsida; Poales; Poaceae
Exons: 3
Source: RefSeq, a predicted model, not a curated record
CCCAGUUCUUCCUUCCCGAGCCGGACGCCGCCGCACCGCCCGCGCACCCGACGCCGAGCCGGAUCGAGCUCGUGCGCCCUGGUUGAUUCCGUGCGCUCCAGGGACACCAAACGCGAACAAAAACCCUAGGGAAACCCCACACCCCCUGUCCCGAUCUUCCCCGUUGUCGCACGCCUUGGUCGGGGCGAUUGGAUCUCGUCAGGAGCUCCGCCGACCGCCGCCGUUUCCCCGGUCGUUUCCCUCACCCCGAGCGAGCCGCCCGAGCUAACCGACGCCGCCGGAGCAGCCGCGGUUCACUUCGUCACCGCCGCCCGCAGGGGACGCCCCGCCGCCGUUGAGCACCACCGCCGCCUCCGCCACUCCCAGUCGCAUCCGCCCGUCACUUCCCCAUCGUCGGAGAGUCGCCGGAGGAGCGCCGCCGCCAACGCCCGAGACCGCCGCCGCCGUCCUCUGUUCUCUGAUUGUCCGGAGUGCGACGCGAGCUAUUGUCAGGAGUGUGACUUUCUGAACCAGAACCAAGGCAAGUUACAUGUUGAUCAUCCUUUACCUAUUGUUUUCUAUGCAUGUAGUUAUAUCACACUAUGAAUAUAUGCAUGUAUAAGAGUAUUAUAUAUUUUGGCUAUGCUGAUGAGCUAUCUUCCCGUCUUUGCAAAUCGUGGUAGUGGUAGGUUGCUAUGCUUUGUAGACGGGGGUGGUUCGUGUAUUCAUUGAGUUUAUG